Molecule: ribosomal RNA, 562 nt
Filed under: uncultured bacterium
Lineage: Bacteria
Description: bacterial SSU rRNA
Rfam family: Bacterial small subunit ribosomal RNA
Source: RNAcentral
AGGUGUGGGCAGUGUAGAAGCCGUCUGUGCCGGAGCAAACACGAUAAGUUCACCGCCUGGGGAGUACGGUCGCAAGGCUAAAACCCAAAGGAAUUGACGGGGGCCCGCACAAGCAGCGGAGCGUGUGGUUUAAUUCGAUGCAACGCGAAGAACCUUACCUGGGCUUGACAUGUACGUAGUAGUGAAGGGAAACCGGAACGAGCCUUCGGGCAGCGUAGACAGGUGCUGCAUGGCUGUCGUCAGCUCGUGUCGUGAGAUGUUGGGUUAAGUCCCGCAACGAGCGCAACCCGUGUUGCUAGUUACAAGUGUCUAGCGAGACUGCCGGUAACAAGCCGGAGGAAGGUGCGGAUGAUGUCAAGUCAGCAUGGCCUAUAUGUCCAGGGCUACACACACGCUACAAUGGCUGGUACAAAGAGAAGCGAAAGGGAGACCUGAAGCGAAUCUCAUCAAAGCCAGUCAUAGUUCGGAUUGCAAGCUGCAACUCGCCUGCAUGAAGUCGGAGUUGCUAGUAACCGCAGGUCAGCAAUACUGCGGUGAAUACGUUCCCGGGCCUUGUACACAC